UACGAAGGGUGCAAGCGUUACUCGGAAUUACUGGGCGUAAAGCGUGCGUAGGCGGUUUGUUAAGUCUGUCGUGAAAGCCCCGGGCUCAACCUGGGAAUGGCGAUGGAUACUGGCGAGCUAGAGUACGGUAGAGGAGAGUGGAAUUCCCGGUGUAGCAGUGAAAUGCGCAGAUAUCGGGAGGAACACCGGUGGCGAAGGCGGUUCUCUGGGCCUGACCUGACGCUGAGGAGCGAAAGCGUGGGGAGCGAACAGG
RNAcentral lists this ribosomal RNA (253 nucleotides) under uncultured bacterium. Its description in RNAcentral is "partial 16S ribosomal RNA". It matches the Rfam family "Bacterial small subunit ribosomal RNA", at positions 524 to 776 of the family's 1533-position model. The record is from RNAcentral.